This 373-nucleotide ribosomal RNA is filed under the name uncultured bacterium. Its description in RNAcentral is "bacterial SSU rRNA". It matches the Rfam family "Bacterial small subunit ribosomal RNA", at positions 527 to 896 of the family's 1533-position model. The record is from RNAcentral.
GUAGGGGGCGAGCGUUGUCCGGAUUUAUUGGGCGUAAAGAGCUCGUAGGCGGUUUGGCAAGUCGGGUGUGAAAACUCCGGGCUCAACUCGGAGACGCCACUCGAUACUGCCAUGACUAGAGUCCGGUAGGGGAGUGCGGAAUUCCUGGUGUAGCGGUGAAAUGCGCAGAUAUCAGGAGGAACACCGGUGGCGAAGGCGGCACUCUGGGCCGGUACUGACGCUGAGGAGCGAAAGCGUGGGGAGCGAACAGGAUUAGAUACCCUGGUAGUCCACGCCGUAAACGUUGGGCACUAGGUGUGGGGCUCGAUCGACGGGUUCCGUGCCGUAGCUAACGCAUUAAGUGCCCCGCCUGGGAAGUACGGCCGCAAGGCUA